GUCCAAUUUGCUCUCGGGGGCGUGUCCAGCUCAGGCCGGAGCUCCAGCCCCUCCCGGACCCAAGAGGGCAUUUAUUGCGCACGCGCGGGGAGGAGCCGCGGGGCACGCCGGGAGCAGGUGUGUCUACACAUGGCUGCCGAGGAAGCAACCAUCACAGUUCGCCUCAUCCGUUCAUUUGAGCAUCGAAAUUUCAAGCCUGUGGUAUAUCAUGGAGUUAAUUUGGACCAAACUGUGAAGGACUUUAUAAUAUUUCUAAAGCAAGAUGUCCCUUUGAGGACCAGCCUGCCACCACCACUCAGAAAUUACAAAUAUGAUACACUAAAGAUUCUUCAUCAAGCUCACAAAGCAAAGACAAAUGAGCUUGUGUUGGGUUUGGAGGACGACGACACACUCCUGCUGAAGGAGGACAGAACGCUCAAGGACUCAGGAGUAGCCAGUGAAACUGAAAUUGCUUUCUUCUGCGGAGAAGAUUAUAAGAGAUACAAAGCUAAUCCCACCUCCUCCUGGUGAAAGUGCCCGGGGUACACCUUUGCAUUCCUUUCUCCCACAAGUAGCAAAAGCAAAGGUUCCUGGUGUUUCUAUGUAAACAGUGAGAAUGACAGUACCACUUAACAAGACAUUACCUUCAGGUGGGGAAGAUGCCCUGAGGACUCCACAGUGGAGAAUGCAUGUGUGUGGACACCAGGGAGCUAUAACGUGAGAACCACUGCACAUCUAGCUUCUUCUUAUAUGACUCCUUAAGUCACCUCCUGCCUGAAAGAUCAACUACAAGAAGGGGAGUCAAAAGCAGUGCAAGGGCUGGCAAGAGGGCUCAGCAGGUGGAGAAGCUUGCUGCCAAGUCUGGUGACCUGAGUUCGAUGCCCGGGGCCCCACACGGUGGUGGCAGGAGAGAACAACUACUACAAGACAUCCUUUGAGAUGUGCACUGUGGCGUCUGUGCACCCAUGCACAUAUACACGUUUGCACAUGCACACAUCAACAAAUAAAUGUGGCUGGUAACCGUUGAGUAGCUGCUAGCCAAGGGGUGCUGCAGAGCCUGUCAAUUGCAAGCAGUGUUCUGAUUUCAGGGAAAUUAAAAUAUGCAAGCUGUGUGUCUCUGAAUCAAUAAAACGUGUAUCAGGUUUCCA
This is a non-coding RNA of Peromyscus maniculatus bairdii (prairie deer mouse), 1127 nucleotides long. The record is from RefSeq and is a predicted model, not a curated record. Lineage: Eukaryota; Metazoa; Chordata; Mammalia; Rodentia; Cricetidae.